RNAcentral lists this non-coding RNA (831 nucleotides) under Odorrana hejiangensis (Hejiang odorous frog). RNAcentral describes it as "partial 12S ribosomal RNA". It matches the Rfam family "Bacterial small subunit ribosomal RNA". Lineage: Eukaryota; Metazoa; Chordata; Amphibia; Anura; Ranidae. The record is from RNAcentral.
UUACACAUGCAAGUCUCAGCACACCAGUGAGAACGCCCUUUUAACCUUCAUCAGGCCAAGGAGCCGGUAUCAGACACAAUCCUAGUCCACAACGCCUAGUCUCACCACACCCCCAAGGGUACUCAGCAGUGAUAAAUCUUGAGCAUAAGCGACAGCUUGACUCAGCCAGAGAAAAGAGGGCCGGCCAACCUGGUGCCAGCCGCCGCGGCUACCCCGUGGGGCUCAAGUUGAAGGCCAUCGGCGUUAAGCGUGAUUAAAGUUCAAUUAGAUUAAGGCCAAAUUAAUAACCUAGUAGUGUAAAGCUUGUUAUUAAGAAGAACACAAACGAAAGUUGCCCUAACCAUCAUACUUGAAUACACGACAGUUGGGAGACAAACUAGGAUCAGACACCCUACUAUGCCCAGCCGUAAACAAUUAACUCACACCCAUAAGCGCCAGGGAACUACGAGCCAUGCUUAAAACCCAAAGGAUUUGACGGUGUCCCACCCCCCUAGAGGAGCCUGUUCUAUAAUCGAUGAUCCCCGAUACACCCGACCACCCCUUGCCCAUCAGUCUGUAUACCUCCGUCGAAAGCUUACCAUGUGAACGUCUACAGUAGGUUCAAGGACCCGCAUUAGCGCGUCAAUACGUCAGGUCAAGGUGCAACUUAAGGAGUGGGAAGUAAUUGGCUACAAUUUCUAAUCUAGAACAAACGAAAGACUGUGUGAAAUCACAGUCACGAAGGCGGAUUUAGUAGUAAAAAGAAAAUAGAGAGUUCUUUUUAACCCGGCUCUGGUACGCGUACACACCGCCCGUCACCCUCUUCGAUAGUGCUAUUACCACGAUCCCUAA